RNAcentral lists this long non-coding RNA (338 nucleotides) under Mytilus galloprovincialis (Mediterranean mussel). The record is from RNAcentral. Lineage: Eukaryota; Metazoa; Mollusca; Bivalvia; Mytilida; Mytilidae.
GGACUUUUUAGAACCGGAAAACACACGUUUAAUGUGUUUUUGUGAGAACAACAAUUGGUGGACUAUACCUGGUACAACUUGGACCAUGCAGAUUAUCCGUAUUAACAUUCCGUUUCCGUUUGAAUUUAGAACUGUGUUUUAUUGAAUGCUGUAUAACUGUGUCCGUUUACAUUUAUAUUCUAUGGACCGUACUUUAUAAUUUUGUGUUUCCGCUAUUCCUGGACAUUUAUACCGUGUGGAACUUUUCCGAUGGUUGGACAGUGUGUAAUAUGACAUUUUUGUGACAUUUAUUGACAUUUCAUUUGCAUUGAUUUAUGUUAUUGUUUAUUGUUUUCAAC